Mandrillus leucophaeus (drill) is the source of this 531-nucleotide long non-coding RNA. RefSeq lists it as uncharacterized. The transcript has 2 exons. Lineage: Eukaryota; Metazoa; Chordata; Mammalia; Primates; Cercopithecidae. The record is from RefSeq and is a predicted model, not a curated record.
GCUGGAGUGGCCGGACCGCCGCCCCAGCUCAAGGACCCGUUAGACCCGCAAACCGCAGUCCCUGCCCCGCGGGCUUCCUUUACUUUUUGGGAGUGGGGCGGGGUGGGGGGGCUUCCCUGCUUUUUCCACCACAGCCGCUUCUCCCGCCGCAAUGGGGCUGAUUCUUAUAAAAAGUUGUAUUAAAGAGCUGACUGCAGCCGAGAAUCGAUCAACAAAAACGACCAGCCUCUCUGGGUCUAUCCAUGGCCUUCUCAACAGAUGACUUCAAGUUGAUUUCGUGCUUUAUUUCUUAAGAAUAGUGACUAACCUACGGGAUCUGAUUCAAUUUAUUAGGAACACAGUGCCACCUUCCAAAAUUACUUACCUAAGAGGACUGAGCCUGCUGUCCCUGGAGCAGUUAGCUAAAACAGUGCCUCAGUACGGAGUGUACCUGUGUUAACUUCUAGAGUGCUGUUUCCGGCAGCUGCUGAAAUCCACGCUGAGGUUAUCAAGCUCAUCCUACAAAAUAAAGCAAGUUCUUUGCAAUUUAAA